AAUUUUAUUAGUAUAAAAAAGUACGUUUGUUUUCCAAACAAUUGGUUUAAAUAGUUUAAAUAAAAU
RNAcentral lists this transfer RNA (66 nucleotides) under Watasenia scintillans (sparkling enope). RNAcentral's name for it is "tRNA-Gly". Lineage: Eukaryota; Metazoa; Mollusca; Cephalopoda; Oegopsida; Enoploteuthidae. The record is from RNAcentral.